CUUCCUUUCUCUUUUCUUUCACUUUUCUUUCUUUCUCUCCCUCUCUCCUCACAUGCACGCACUUCUCUCCCUCCCACUUCUUCUCUCUCUUCCUUUUCUCCUUCUUUUUCUCUUUUCCCCUUUUCUCUCCCCCUGUUUCACGGCAGCAGCAGCCCCCACCAUUUCUUUUCUCUUCUUCCUCCCUUCUCCCUUGUCACGCACGCACAGCAGCUCAUUUCUUUUCCUUUCCUUUCCUCCUUCCUCUCUUGUCUUGCACUCACGCACACACACGGAUCCGAGUGUGAGAGAUGAGCCGAAUGGUGAAGGAGCACCGGUGAAUCCAGACUGAGGGGAUUCUCUGCAAAAACUUCUGGGAUCAUGUUCGGAUUGGAGACUUUAAUUGGUUCUCCAAUGUAGAGUCCAAGUGACUAGAGUCCAAGGAGUGUUCGAGUUGGAGUCUAAUGCAGCCAAGAUGAUGUUUCUUUGGCUGCAGGUACUUCGGUAUAGUCGAUGGGUCGGUAGCAGUGUGCUUGGGAUGUUAUGACUAAAGUUCGCCGCGACAGUUGUAAUGGUCGGACCACGGGUUGUCCACUAUUUUAUAGGUUUGGUAUGGCUUGUGACGUUUGUGUCACUUAUUCUUUGUUAAGCCAUUAUUGUUGUAGUGUUAAUAAGACUCAAACAGAUAGAUAUUAAAUGGCUCUUUGUUGUAAUUAACUUGUGAUAGAUGUAUAAGUUGUAAUUUCCGCUAUUCAGAUUUAUGUUUUCCGCUGCA
Molecule: long non-coding RNA, 751 nt
Organism: Alnus glutinosa
Lineage: Eukaryota; Viridiplantae; Streptophyta; Magnoliopsida; Fagales; Betulaceae
Exons: 3
Source: RefSeq, a predicted model, not a curated record